GAUGAACGCUGACAGAAUGCUUAACACAUGCAAGUCCACUUGAAUUUGGGUUUUUAACUUAGGUUUGGGUGGCGGACGGGUGAGUAACGCGUAAAGAACUUGCCUCACAGCUAGGGACAACAUUUGGAAACAAAUGCUAAUACCUAAUAUUAUGAUAAUAGGGCAUCCUAUAAUUAUGAAAGCUAUAAGCGCUGUGAGAGAGCUUUGCGUCCCAUUAGCUAGUUGGAGAGGUAACGGCUCACCAAGGCGAUGAUGGGUAGCCGGCCUGAGAGGGUGAUCGGCCACAAGGGGACUGAGACACGGCCCUUACUCCUACGGGAGGCAGCAGUGGGGAAUAUUGGACAAUGGACCAAGAGUCUGAUCCAGCAAUUCUGUGUGCACGAUGAAGUUUUUCGGAAUGUAAAGUGCUUUCAGUUGGGAAGAAAGAAAUGACGGUACCAACAGAAGAAGUGACGGCUAAAUACGUG
Molecule: ribosomal RNA, 467 nt
Filed under: uncultured bacterium
Lineage: Bacteria
Description: partial 16S ribosomal RNA
Rfam family: Bacterial small subunit ribosomal RNA
Source: RNAcentral